CAGGGAUUGCCCUAGUAACGGCGAGUGAAGCGGCAACAGCUCAAAUUUGAAAUCUGGCCCUCGCGGUCCGAGUUGUAAUUUGUAGAGGAUGCUUUUGGUUAGGUACCUUCCGAGUUCCCUGGAACGGGACGCCAGAGAGGGUGAGAGCCCCGUACGGUUGGAUACCGAGCCUCUAUAUAGCUCCUUCGACGAGUCGAGUAGUUUGGGAAUGCUGCUCUAAAUGGGAGGUAAAUUUCUUCUAAAGCUAAAUACCGGCCAGAGACCGAUAGCGCACAAGUAGAGUGAUCGAAAGAUGAAAAGUACUUUGAAAAGAGGGUUAAAUAGCACGUGAAAUUGUUGGUAUCCAACCGUACGGGGCUCUCACCCUCUCUGGGCGUCCCGUUCCAGGGAACUCGGAAGUGCACUUCGCCCGGUUUAGGCCAGCAUCGGUUCUCCUAGGGGGAUAAAGGCGGGGGGAACGUGGCUCCUUCGGGAGUGUUAUAGC
Molecule: ribosomal RNA, 484 nt
Filed under: Daldinia sp.
Lineage: Eukaryota; Fungi; Ascomycota; Sordariomycetes; Xylariales; Hypoxylaceae
Description: LSU rRNA
Rfam family: Eukaryotic large subunit ribosomal RNA
Source: RNAcentral